GCCUGGAGGAGGAGGUUGCCUCUGGGAGCAGGCGUAGCUGCUGGAACUCUUCUUCCCAGCCUUCUUUUAAUGCUCUCCGGCACCUCCUGCACACAGAUAAACCAGGAUCAGGAGAAUAAACGGACCUGCAGCAGCAGGACUGUGGUUCUAGUGAAUGAGAGAAGCCUCUCUCCAGCGAGGUACAGGAGGCCAGGCCAAAUGCCCUGCUCUCUGCCUGCAUGUUUGCCACCGUGCCCAGGACUAGGGGCAGCAUGGGAGCUGCUGGCUGGGGCUGUGCUGGUCACCCCCUCCCUCCCACUUCUCUCUCCAGCCACGCUUUCAGUUCCAGGGUUAGGGCUAGUGGCUACAGUACGUGCC
This 357-nucleotide long non-coding RNA is filed under the name Homo sapiens (human). Its description in RNAcentral is "HSALNT0237502". Lineage: Eukaryota; Metazoa; Chordata; Mammalia; Primates; Hominidae. The record is from RNAcentral.